GGCUGGAGUCGGGCAAUGGAGAGACUGACUUGGUGGCCCCUGGAGCUGAGUUCCCAUACUGGCACUUUGCCAGAUGGAUGGAUGAAGACUGACCUUCUGCCAGCAUGCAUCUGUCCCUUUGGGUCACCUGUGGAUGGCACUUAGUGCUCAAGAUACACCUGAGCUUUGUUAUUCAGUAGGAGAAUUCAGCUCUUCUAAACCCAGAUGCCUCUCAGUGUCCCUCCAGCACUGUACCGGAUGCUUUUCUUCACAAAGUGACUGUUUAUCAUCUAAGAGAAGCCUCUGUGGUAAGUGAGCUCCUGGAGCUGUUAGAUCACUGUGUCCCUGUCUGCUUCUGCGGUUCCUCUGUGACAUUUCACACUGUC
Molecule: long non-coding RNA, 365 nt
Filed under: Capra hircus (goat)
Lineage: Eukaryota; Metazoa; Chordata; Mammalia; Artiodactyla; Bovidae
Description: lncRNA (ENSCHIG00000007041.1)
Source: RNAcentral